GGGCUUGUACUGGUUUCGACAGGGAUCUCGAAGAUGGAGAAGCUAUCCGUAGGCUGAUGCGUUAAAUCGCAAACUUAAAAUUAAACGCUAACGAUAAUUUCGAAUUAGCUGCAGCCUAAAUGCUGCAUGUCAGCCCUGAAGCACUCACACUUUAGGAAUCUGGCACCGACUAUGUGAGAAACGAUGACGGCAAAGCUUUGAGCUGUCAGGCGUAUUAUGAAGCUACUGAACCCGUAAGGAUGUUAGUUUUCGUACGGCAGAGGGAAUGUCAAAUAACUGACUAUGAUAGUAGAAGUACAUGGGACAGGUUUUUGGACGCGGGUUCGAUUCCCGCCAGGUCCAC
This 343-nucleotide transfer-messenger RNA is filed under the name Mediterraneibacter torques. RNAcentral describes it as "[Ruminococcus] torques transfer-messenger RNA%2C SsrA". It matches the Rfam family "transfer-messenger RNA". Rfam says of the family: Bacterial tmRNA, also known as 10Sa RNA or SsrA, is named for its dual tRNA and mRNA-like properties. Its role is to liberate the mRNA from a stalled ribosome. The record is from RNAcentral. Lineage: Bacteria; Bacillati; Bacillota; Clostridia; Lachnospirales; Lachnospiraceae.